RNAcentral lists this non-coding RNA (28 nucleotides) under Bombyx mori (domestic silkworm). The record is from RNAcentral. Lineage: Eukaryota; Metazoa; Arthropoda; Insecta; Lepidoptera; Bombycidae.
AUCGGAAAGCACGUCCGCGCACGACCGA